Molecule: ribosomal RNA, 375 nt
Filed under: uncultured bacterium
Lineage: Bacteria
Description: bacterial SSU rRNA
Rfam family: Bacterial small subunit ribosomal RNA
Source: RNAcentral
UAAUACGGAGGGUGCAAGCGUUGUCCGGAUUCAUUGGGUUUAAAGGGUGCGUAGGCGGCCCUGUAAGUCAGCGGUGAAAUCCCACGGCUCAACCGUGGAACUGCCGUUGAUACUGCGGGGCUUGAGUUCGCCCGAGGUCGCUGGAAUGCGUGGUGUAGCGGUGAAAUGCAUAGAUAUCACGCAGAACACCGAUUGCGAAGGCAGGUGACUGGGGCGCGACUGACGCUGAGGCACGAAAGUGUGGGGAGCAAACAGGAUUAGAUACCCUGGUAGUCCACACCGUAAACGAUGGAUACUAGGUGUCCGGCCUUUCGGGGCUGGGUGCCCAAGGGAAACCGAUAAGUAUCCCACCUGGGGAGUACGUCCGCAAGGAUG